AGACCCGAAACCCGGUGAUCUAGCCAUGGGCAGGUUGAAGGUUGGGUAACACUAACUGGAGGACCGAACCGACUAAUGUUGAAAAAUUAGCGGAUGACCUGUGGCUGGGGGUGAAAGGCCAAUCAAACCGGGAGAUAGCUGGUUCUCCCCGAAAGCUAUUUAGGUAGCGCCUCGUGAAUUCAUCUCCGGGGGUAGAGCACUGUUUCGGCUAGGGGGCCAUCCCGGCUUACCAACCCGAUGCAAACUGCGAAUACCGGAGAAUGUUAUCACGGGAGACACACGGCGGGUGCUAACGUCCGUCGUGAAGAGGGAAACAACCCAGACCGCCAGCUAAGGUCCCAAAGUCAUGGUUAAGUGGGAAACGAUGUGGGAAGGCCCAGACAGCCAGGAUGUUGGCUUAGAAGCAGCCAUCAUUUAAAGAAAGCGUAAUAGCUCACUGGUCGAGUCGGCCUGCGCGGAAGAUGUAACGGGGCUAAACCAUGCACCGAAGCUGCGGCAGCGACACUCAGGUGUUGUUGGGUAGGGGAGCGUUCUGUAAGCCUGCGAAGGUGGCCUGUGAGGGUUGCUGGAGGUAUCAGAAGUGCGAAUGCUGACAUAAGUAACGAUAAAGCGGGUGA
RNAcentral lists this ribosomal RNA (617 nucleotides) under Salmonella enterica subsp. enterica serovar Infantis. Its description in RNAcentral is "partial 23S ribosomal RNA". It matches the Rfam family "Bacterial large subunit ribosomal RNA", at positions 711 to 1324 of the family's 2925-position model. RNAcentral also lists the same sequence under 1 other name. The record is from RNAcentral. Lineage: Bacteria; Pseudomonadati; Pseudomonadota; Gammaproteobacteria; Enterobacterales; Enterobacteriaceae.